Molecule: long non-coding RNA, 435 nt
Organism: Lutra lutra (Eurasian river otter)
Lineage: Eukaryota; Metazoa; Chordata; Mammalia; Carnivora; Mustelidae
Exons: 3
Source: RefSeq, a predicted model, not a curated record
GCCAGUAAUGACACCCACUUCUCAGAAUCAUUGUGAAGGCUGACGGCAGUAAUGGCUGCCAACCGCUCGGUCACCAGUGGGCCGGACUGAUAGUCAACACCUGUGCUUUCCACGCGCUGGGCACACCGUUCUCAGUGGUCUGGGGGAAUUCAUUUCAUAGUCAGAAACAACUCUAUAAGUUAAGUUAUAUGGCAUAGUUGACUUUAAGAAAAGGAGGUCAUCCUGGGUGAGCCUGACCUAAUCAGAAAGUCCAGCAAGAGAAUCAGGGCCCCGAUCCACAACCAGAAGCUACUGAAUUCUGCUACAGAUGCAUGAUCUUGGAAGAGAACCUGAGCUCCAGAUCAGAACUCAGUCUGGCCAACACUUUAUGAGAACCUUAACAGGGAAUUCCUUCAAGCCAUGCCCAGAUCUGACCAAAACCAUAGGCUAAUAAAU